Long non-coding RNA from Sander lucioperca (pikeperch), 140 nucleotides. RefSeq lists it as uncharacterized. The transcript has 3 exons. The record is from RefSeq and is a predicted model, not a curated record. Lineage: Eukaryota; Metazoa; Chordata; Actinopteri; Perciformes; Percidae.
UGAGACCAAAUAGCAGAUCUGCACAUGACCUUACACCCACAGAAGUAAUGAGAAUCAUGUUGUAUAUACAGCACAUGAGAAAACAUCAGGUGUUAAGAGCUCUGGGAGUUGUCAGAGGAAGCUGAAUCUCCCCUGCUUUA